This 2892-nucleotide ribosomal RNA is filed under the name Triticum aestivum (bread wheat). RNAcentral's name for it is "partial small subunit ribosomal RNA". Lineage: Eukaryota; Viridiplantae; Streptophyta; Magnoliopsida; Poales; Poaceae. The record is from RNAcentral.
AUGUCCAAGAAAAUUAAGUUAGUGACCAAGGAUAUACAUGCAUUGUGCGAUAUGCUCUCCAAAUUGCUCAGUGUUACACCCCAUAGCAGCACAACUGUAACCCUAACACGGCCUCUUGUAGGAUCAACGAUUUCACAAGAUAGACUGUAUGGUAGAGAGGACAUUUUUGAGAAAACCAUAAAUUGUAUCACCAGCUGCUGUGAAACCCUUUCUAUUCUUCCCAUAGUUGGACCAGGCGGUAUUGGAAAAUCAACACUUACUCAACACCUGUAUAAUGACACAAGGACCCGAGAACACUUUAGUGCCAGGGUCUGGAUAUCUGUAUCCACUGAUUUCGAUGUGCUUAAGCUAAACCAGCAAAUCCUAAGCUGCAUGCCUGCUACUGAAGAAGAAGAAAGCAAAACUACACAUGAAACAAAUAGCUUAAGCAGCAUUCAAGAAUACAUUGCACAGAGACUGAGAUCUAAAAGGUUUUUAGUUGUCUUGGAUGAUGUAUGGAAAUGUGAUAAUAUGUCUGAAUGGAAAAGUCUGUUAGCUCCGUUCACAAAGGGGGAAGCCAAAGGCAGCAUGAUAAUUGUCACAACUCGGUUUCCAAAACUAGCAGAUAUGAUGAAAACAGUUGAUCAACUACCACUAGAACUGCAAGGUUUGGAGCCUAAUGACUUCUUCGCAUUCUUUGAAGAACGUAUCUUUGGUGAACUCGACAGACCUGAAGGUUACAUUGACAUUUUGAGUGGUAUCGCAAGAGAAAUUGCAUAUAAGUUAAUGGGUGACCCUCUAGCAGCCAAAACAGCCAGUCGACUAUUGAGGAAAAACAUGUCUCAGGAACAUUGGAUGGCAGUUCUUGAACACAAGGAAUGGGAAUGUAGUAAAGACGGUGACGAUAUUAUGUCAUCACUGUACACUAGCUACGACUACCUCCCUUUUCUCCUGCAAAAAUGCUUUUCCUACUGUGCCCUUUUCCCAAAAGGUCAUAGGUUUAGUCAUUUAGAAAUGAAUCGUUUUUUGACUGCGGUAGGCAUCAUAGACUCUACUCACCAAGACGAUACAAAUUAUUUGGAAGAACUAGUGGACAAUGGUUUUCUUCUUAAGGCAGAUGAUUUGAUUGGUCAAAACUAUAUAAUGCAUAAGUUAUUGCAUGACCUAUCUCAAAAGGUUUCAGUACAAGAAUGCCUCAACAUAAGUGGAUCAGAUUUUAAAUCUGACACAGUUCCACAAUCUAUUCGACACCUGUCUAUCACUUUGAAAGAUACAUAUGAUGAAAAUUUUCUUGAAGAAGUGAGUAAACUAAAAACUAGGAUAGACAUUGCAAAUUUACGGACUUUGAUGAUUUUCUGUGAAUAUCAAGGAAAUUUUGCUGGUAUUUUAAAAGAUACGUUUGAGGAAGUAGAUAGUCUGCAUGUCCUAUUUAUAGUUGUGAAAUCCCUGGAUGAUUUGCCAAAAGGCUUUUCAAAACUUAUCCACCUCCAGUACCUCAAACUUGGAUCACCUUAUGGCAUAGAGAUGGCAUUACCUAGCACACUAUCAAGAUUUUAUCACUUGAAAUUCUUAGACCUAGAAGAUUGGCAUGGUAGUUCUAAUGUUCCAAAAGACAUUAACCGCCUUGUGAAUUUGCAAGACUUCAUUGCUAAGAAAGAACUCCACUCCAGUGUUCCUGAGGUUGGAAAGAUGAAGUAUCUACGGGAACUAAAAGAAUUCUGUGUUAAGAAAGAGAGUGUUGGAUUUGAAUUAAGAGAGCUGGGGGAAAUGACAGAGCUUGGAGGAGAACUCAGAAUAUGCAAUCUCGAAAAGGUAGCAACCAAAGAAGAAGCUAGUGAAGCCAAACUGAAGUCCAAAAGGAAUCUGAAGAAGUUAACAUUAGUUUGGGGCAGUGAAGAACGGACUGUAGAUGGUGAUGUUCUUGAUGGUCUUCAACCACAUCCUGAUCUUAGAGAGCUUUGCAUUGCAAAUCAUGGUGGUGCUGUUGGUCCCAGCUGGUUGUGUGUUGACAUUUUGCUGAAACAGCUAGGGGCUCUCCAUCUGGAAGGGUUGUCUUGGGACACUCUUCCACCUUUUGGGCAGCUACCAUACCUCACCAAACUCGUUUUGAAGAAGAUUUCUGGAGUGCGUCAGUUGAGAAUACAGGACAUGGCAUCGCUGGAGUCAUUGAUGAUAUGUAGAUGUGGCAACUUCUUCUCUGGGUGUUCCGUGGAAGAAGCAGGAGGAGGAACUGGGACAAUGAAGCCUUUCCCUGCUUCCCUCAAGAAGCUUGGUAUUUCAACUGAGUCAAGCAUACAGUCAAUGGCUCUGCUCUCAAACCUCACGUCUCUCACCCAUCUGACACUAAAAGAUUGUGUCAAGUUAACAGUGGAUGGAUUCAAUCCGCUGAUCACAGUAAACCUGAAGGUAUUGGUGGUAUUUAACUGCAGAUGGGACAGAAGUUGUCCUGAAUCUAUAGCAGCGGAUCUGCUCUCAGAGGUGGCAAGUAGCAGAGUAAUGCCUGCAGGAUCCUUCCAAUUGGAACAGCUCAAGGUGGAGAGCAUCUCGGCAGUGCUUGUCGCUCCCAUCUGCAACCUCAUUGCCACUACCAUCCACACAGUGAUCUUCUGCCAUGAUCACCGGGUCAAAAGCUUCACGGAAGAGCAAGAAAAGGCGCUUCAGCUCCUCACAUCACUCCGACACCUCGGAUUUGAUGGUUGUGGGGCUCUGCAGUCCCUCCCACGAGGGUUGCAUCGCCUUUAUUCACUGGAGAACUUAGAGGUCCUUUGGUGUUGUGAAGUCCAAUCCAUACCCAAGGAGGGCUUCCCUGUUUCACUGCAAAACCUACGCAUAAGGCCUUGCAGGACCGAGGUUAAGGAGCAAAUUGAGAAAAUCAGAAUAACAAACCCGGAUUUAUCUGUACAGUACGAGUAA